Molecule: unclassified non-coding RNA, 95 nt
Organism: Microcebus murinus (gray mouse lemur)
Lineage: Eukaryota; Metazoa; Chordata; Mammalia; Primates; Cheirogaleidae
Source: Ensembl
CUCUUGCGAUGGCCAUGCCUGUCAGUUACAUGGAGCUUCAUUCAAGGAUUUUCCGAGCCUGCUGGAUUUACAGUGAUAUUUGGCCGUCUGGGGGA